RNAcentral lists this ribosomal RNA (246 nucleotides) under uncultured bacterium. RNAcentral's name for it is "partial 16S ribosomal RNA". It matches the Rfam family "Bacterial small subunit ribosomal RNA", at positions 86 to 334 of the family's 1533-position model. The record is from RNAcentral.
AGAUGGCGACCGGCGCACGGGUGAGUAACACGUAUCCAACCUGCCGAUAACUCGGGGAUAGCCUUCCGAAAGAAAGAUUAAUACCCGAUGGUAUAAUCAGACCGCAUGGUUUGAUUAUUAAAGAAUUUCGGUUAUCGAUGGGGAUGCGUUCCAUUAGCAGUUGGUGAGGUAACGGCUCACCAAACCUUCGAUGGAUAGGGGUUCUGAGAGGAAGGUCCCCCACAUUGGAACUGAGACACGGUCCAA